RNAcentral lists this ribosomal RNA (585 nucleotides) under uncultured bacterium. RNAcentral's name for it is "bacterial SSU rRNA". It matches the Rfam family "Bacterial small subunit ribosomal RNA", at positions 338 to 915 of the family's 1533-position model. The record is from RNAcentral.
CCUACGGGAGGCAGCAGUAGGGAAUCUUCCACAAUGGGCGAAAGCCUGAUGGAGCAACGCCGCGUGAGUGAUGAAGGCCUUCGGGUUGUAAAACUCUGUCAUUCGGGACGAACCGGAGUCUGAGGAAAUGCAGACUCUCUGACGGUACCGGAGGAGGAAGCCCCGGCUAACUACGUGCCAGCAGCCGCGGUAAUACGUAGGGGGCAAGCGUUGUCCGAAUUCACUGGGCGUAAAGCGCGCGCAGGCGGUGAUGUAAGUCUGAGGUGAAAACCCGAAGCUCAACUUCGGGACUGCCUUGGAUACUGCGUCACUUGAGGAUAGGAGAGGCAAGGGGAAUUCCACGUGUAGCGGUGAAAUGCGUAGAGAUGUGGAGGAACACCUGUGGCGAAGGCGCCUUGCUGGCCUAUUUCUGACGCUGAGGCGCGAAAGCGUGGGGAGCAAACAGGAUUAGAUACCCUGGUAGUCCACGCUGUAAACGAUGAGUGCUAGGUGUAGGUGGGCUCAUACCCAUCUGUGCCGAAGCUAACGCAUUAAGCACUCCGCCUGGGGAGUACGGUCGCAGACUGAAACUCAAAGGAAUUGAGG